Molecule: long non-coding RNA, 966 nt
Filed under: Gallus gallus (chicken)
Lineage: Eukaryota; Metazoa; Chordata; Aves; Galliformes; Phasianidae
Description: lncRNA (ENSGALG00010010182.1)
Source: RNAcentral
AAUACUGACAACAGUUUUGAUAGGAAGUUUCAGCAUGGCUAUGAUAUGGAGCAGAGAUGUGAAAACUGGCAAGAGGAUAACCAUGUCGUCAUUGAUUUACACAUUGCUCUCUCUAAGAAAACCCAUCCAAAUGUAGAAGACAUAUAAGCUUUGGAGGGGGAAAAGAAAAUAUCUCAGUUCGCAGUUGCUCAGAAAAGACCUGUUAGUACUUGGCAGCUAAAUUCCCUACAGAGUCUGGGCAACAAAUGUGCCCAUCCAUGCUGUGCCCCACCCAGGCUCUGCACCAGCCCCCACUGGCAAGCAUGUGAUUCCUGACACUUCCACAAGCAUGACCAAUUCACCUGAAUUUUCCUUGCACCACUACAACUUUUCUGGGACACAAAUGCACGGGAGCCAAAUAACAACAGUCUUUUAAUGACAGUAAGGCAAAAUACAGGAACUGGGACAUUUCUAACAGGUUCUCUACCAGCUUCUGGUACCAGACCCUCAUGUGGAGUGAAGCUACAAAGCCUAUGGAAAUACAUGAGGUGAUUUUAUUCUGCUUAGAAAAAAAGGCAAAGUGAAAGGCAUCUCCUCCCUACCCAAAGGAGCAAGUCAGGGAGUGAAGCCUGUGGGUGAAGAUCAAGACUGAGGGAAAAAGGGAGGUCCCUAGAUGAAUCAUGAGAAUCCCUUUUAAAACACACUCAGCUAUGGACAAGAGCAGAAAACUGCAGCAGCUCCAACUUCCACCCGUUGCCUCUCAAAGCCCAGUGGCACUUCCUGAGAGCUUGGGGCCUUCACUUCCGGAGAACAAACCAGAACUGUUUCCACUGUGAACUUUUCUACUUUAAGAUUAGAAUGAAAAGUAGAUAAUUGCAGAGUUGCCUUUUAACAUUAUCUAUGACCAUGUGCAGUGUCAUUAGUAGCCAAGGUUGCUAAUCUUAUGCAGUAAUUCUGUGCUUCCUUUGAAGAAACAACCUAGAGCAC